Molecule: long non-coding RNA, 359 nt
Organism: Oxyura jamaicensis (ruddy duck)
Lineage: Eukaryota; Metazoa; Chordata; Aves; Anseriformes; Anatidae
Exons: 3
Source: RefSeq, a predicted model, not a curated record
UUAUUGUGAUUUUGGCUAUAUUCUUGGUAAUAACAGUAGGUUCUUGGUGUUGCUGUAGAAAGAUACCCGCGUGCUGCAUUUUGUAAGUGUUAAGUGUAUUCUGUGAGUGUGAACUGGGAAAAUGGGAGGAAGACAAAGUGGUGGUUUUUUAAAGAAAAGCCCUUUAGUAUGUGUUUUGAGUCAUUAGAAGGAUAUUGGAGGAUCUGCUGGUGGAAGUGUGAACAGGAAAACAUUGAUAAAAUAUUGUAAUCAAUGGUGGCCACUUUAAAAGCUGGAAUGUGGAGAAAAGUGGCCUUUUAAUGGAACUUUAAACUAUAAUACUUUGUUACAGUUAAUGUUGAUUUUGAGGAGGAGAGGAA